GACGAACGCUGGCGGCGUGCUUAACACAUGCAAGUCGAACGGAAAGGCCCUGCUUUUGUGGGGUGCUCGAGUGGCGAACGGGUGAGUAACACGUGAGUAACCUGCCCUUGACUUUGGGAUAACUUCAGGAAACUGGGGCUAAUACCGGAUAGGAGCUCCUGCUGCAUGGUGGGGGUUGGAAAGUUUCGGCGGUUGGGGACGGACUCGCGGCUUAUCAGCUUGUUGGAGGGGUAGUGGCUUACCAAGGCUUUGACGGGUAGCCGGCCUGAGAGGGUGACCGGCCACAUUGGGACUGAGAUACGGCCCAGACUCCUACGGGAGGCAGCAGUGGGGAAUAUUGCACAAUGGGCGGAAGCCUGAUGCAGCAACGCCGCGUGCGGGAUGACGGCCUUCGGGUUGUAAACCGCUUUCGCCUGUGACGAAGCGUGAGUGACGGUAAUGGGUAAAGAAGCACCGGCUAACUACGUG
This 468-nucleotide ribosomal RNA is filed under the name uncultured bacterium. RNAcentral describes it as "partial 16S ribosomal RNA". It matches the Rfam family "Bacterial small subunit ribosomal RNA", at positions 28 to 507 of the family's 1533-position model. The record is from RNAcentral.